UACGGAGACUGCGAGCGUUACACGGAUUCACUGGGCGUAAAGGGUGCGCAGGCGGCUAAUUGUGUCAGGUGUGAAAUCCCGGGGCUUAACUCCGGAACUGCGCCUGAAACUGAUUGGCUAGAGGCUCGGAGAGGUAAGCGGAAUUCCAGGUGUAGCAGUGAAAUGCGUAGAUAUCUGGAGGAACACCAAAGGCGAAGGCAGCUUACUGGAAGAGUUCUGACGCUCAGGCACGAAAGCGUGGGUAGCGAAAGGG
This 253-nucleotide ribosomal RNA is filed under the name uncultured bacterium. RNAcentral's name for it is "partial 16S ribosomal RNA". It matches the Rfam family "Bacterial small subunit ribosomal RNA", at positions 524 to 776 of the family's 1533-position model. The record is from RNAcentral.